Molecule: long non-coding RNA, 1069 nt
Filed under: Mytilus galloprovincialis (Mediterranean mussel)
Lineage: Eukaryota; Metazoa; Mollusca; Bivalvia; Mytilida; Mytilidae
Source: RNAcentral
UAUUCAAUUAUUUCCAUUAUUUUAAGACAAGUAGAAUUUUUAAAAAAUAUUUGCAAAGUUUGUGUUAAGCACCAUGAUUUGAAAAUAACAAGUAUCCAAAAUAAUGUACAUCUGUAAUAAAAGGACGGAAUAAUCAGAUCUUUAUUAUUGACAUGUACUUUUCAACAACUUUAACUAUAUAUAUAAACUUUAAUUGGCAACUUAAGCUUAAUGAAGGAAAUGGCACUUUUCAAAAACUUCAACUAUACAUAUAAAAUGAAACAAGCAACUACAGAUUAAUAAAAGUUAAAAGAGCAAGAUAGUUCAUAAUUGGUUAAUGUUAGCUUCCUGGUUAUGACAUGAGUUGGAACAAAAUAAAAACUUAACAUUUUCAUUCUAUAUAUAAAUUGCCCCAAAACACUCGACAAUUGUUGCAGAAAUAAGCAUUGGUAGCAAGCAAAAAAAAAAUAACAAGAAUAAGAAGAAACAGAGUAUAAAAAAUAGUGUCCCAAUUUUUGUUCAAUUAAUAAUUUUUUUUUGUGCUGUUAUUGCAAAAAGUAAAGUGUUUUGUUUCAAAAAAACUCAUAACAUAACAACUUUCGUUAGCUGCACCACUAUACAACUAUUCAUGAAAUAAAAGUCUUGACAUUUGUUUCAUCAUAAUCUCAACAUUAAAAUUCACACCUAAUCAUUUCUAAUUAGUUGCUUUACAUUAUACACUGUAUAUAAGAACAAACUUUAUUAUUCUAAACUUAUUUCAAAUCUGGCAAAUUCAGAUACCAAUGAACUGAAGAAAGCAUUUAAUAUGUAUUAGUUAAUUACUCAAAUAUAUUUACCAGCACAUUGCACCACCUUUGAGUACUGUAUAAUUAUGUUCUUAUUUUGCUGUGUCUUAAUUUUCAUGUUUUUUUGUGGUAAGUAUAUUUUGGUCAAAAUAUAUACACUUGAAUACAAAAAUGUUAUAAAAUGAAUUUAACAACGGUAAAUGAAUUCAAACUUGACUAAUUAACUUUGCCCUUUUAAAAGAACACCAGUAAUAGUUGAAAAAAAAAAACACAACAAAAAAUCAAUUAAAGAAACAGGAAAAAAC